This is a long non-coding RNA of Trifolium pratense (red clover), 406 nucleotides long. RefSeq lists it as uncharacterized. Lineage: Eukaryota; Viridiplantae; Streptophyta; Magnoliopsida; Fabales; Fabaceae. The record is from RefSeq and is a predicted model, not a curated record. The transcript has 2 exons.
UUUCACACUAUAAAGUGAUCAUACAAUUUUUAAACUUUACACGCAAACAAAGGAAAUUAUGGUUAAAACUCUCAUGUUUUUUCAAAUUAUGUUUACUUUUAUUUUUAUAUUUACCGUUGUAAUUGAAGGCUUCCCUAAAUAUAAUCACUAUCAAAAGUGUUAUAAUGACAAAGAUUGCCCUGUAUUUCUGUGUAUACCUCCUAGAGUUCCAAAGUGCAUAAGAAAGUCUUGUCGAUGUGUUGACAAUUGAAUCCCAUCCUCAAAAGUUAUAAAAAUACCCAUUAGUGAUACCAUUAUUGAUAAUAAUUUUGCUUUUCCCACUUUUUGAUCAAGUUCAAAAAUAUGUGUGUGGUAGUUAUAAGAGUAUACUUGUAUUUGUAAUUAUAAUGUUGGUACUUUUAUUUAA